This 77-nucleotide transfer RNA is filed under the name Gammaproteobacteria bacterium. RNAcentral describes it as "tRNA-Arg". It matches the Rfam family "tRNA". From Rfam's summary of the family: Transfer RNA (tRNA) molecules are approximately 80 nucleotides in length. Their secondary structure includes four short double-helical elements and three loops (D, anti-codon, and T loops). Further hydrogen bonds mediate the characteristic L-shaped molecular structure. tRNAs have two regions of fundamental functional importance: the anti-codon, which is responsible for specific mRNA codon recognition, and the 3' end, to which the tRNAs corresponding amino acid is attached (by aminoacyl-tRNA synthetases). tRNAs cope with the degeneracy of the genetic code in two manners: having more than one tRNA (with a specific anti-codon) for a particular amino acid; and 'wobble' base-pairing, i.e. permitting non-standard base-pairing at the 3rd anti-codon position. The record is from RNAcentral. Lineage: Bacteria; Pseudomonadati; Pseudomonadota; Gammaproteobacteria.
GCCCCGGUAGCUCAGCAGGAUAGAGCACCGGUUUCCUAAACCGGGGGUCGCAGGUUCGAAUCCUGCCGGGCGCGCCA